GAUCUCAGUUGGAGCCAUUUGAUGGUUUCUUUUUGAGCUCACUUUGCUUCCAAUUCAAUAAGAACUAAAAAUAAUAACAUGGGUAAUCUAAUUGCAGAUCAGUAGAUAUCCUGGCUGCUCUCAGUCUCAGAACAUGUAUCCCACGUACACUGGAUGCACACACGGUGCACGAGCUUUCUAGCAGCAGUAGCUUUUCACCUAGGACAAGGGUGACACUUGUGAACCAUAAAGCCUAUCAAUGUUACCCUGCCCAGUUGAUAUAGUGCAGAGGCUUUCUUAGAAUAAAUAACAAAUGUUGAUAUCUGUGAUUGCAUACCAUGGCCAAAGGGGGAAAAAAAUGUGAAAACCCUUAAACGCUCUGAAGAGAUCUUGGAUAAAAGAAAACAGGAAAUCAUUUGUAAUAUUAAAAAUAGAUUGCUUCCUGGAAGUAACAACCAUGAUGUUCUUGUUGACUUUUUUUUCAUGUUAAAUGUCACAUACAGAAGCAGAGCCAGUCAGCUCCUGCUCUUAUUUCGAAUUUUCCUGAAAUACAAAAUUUGUAAGGCUGUGAUGUGCAAGACUGACUUCAGAGUCCCCAGAGAAGCAUCUUAACCUUAAAUGUCAUAAAUACUGUCCCAUGGGCUUCAGAAACUGUGAGGCCAGUGAAAGGUGAUUUUUCUAAGCACAAUUCUUGCAGAGACAGAAACACUUAAAGUAUUGGCUGGAUUAAAAUCCAUGGUGAAAAACUCUUGAGUUUCAAUGAGGACAAAGUUUCGCACAAGAUGAUAUUCGUCACAGGGAGGAGGUUUAUAUGAGGGCAAAAAUCCUGUGAACUUCAGAGAAAACUGGUUCCCUG
RNAcentral lists this long non-coding RNA (835 nucleotides) under Parus major (Great Tit). RNAcentral's name for it is "lncRNA (ENSPMJG00000006354.1)". Lineage: Eukaryota; Metazoa; Chordata; Aves; Passeriformes; Paridae. The record is from RNAcentral.